UGGAAAAAAAUUAAAAUUUUUUGAAAAUGCCGAGGUUGGAAAAUAAAUGAAAAUAUUUUGAAAAUUCCGAGGUUGGAAAAAAAAUGAAAAUUUUUUUGAAAAUUCCGAGAUUGGAAAAAAAAUGAGAUAAACUUAUCGUCGUGCUGGGGAUAGAUCAUUGUAAUUCUGGAUCUUGAACGAGGAAUUUCUAGUAAGCGCGAGUCAUCAGCUCGCGAUAAUUACGUCUCUGCCCUUUGUACUCACCGCCCAUCGCUACUACCGAUUGAAUAGUUUAGUGAGGUUUCCAGAUUGGCACUGUCAGAUGGGCUUCGUAUCAUCCGACGGACGUCAAAAAGUUGGUCAAACUUGAUCUUUUAGAGGAAGUAAAAGUCGGAACAAAGUUUCCGUAGGUGAACCUGCGAAAG
RNAcentral lists this ribosomal RNA (404 nucleotides) under Paramuricea clavata. Its description in RNAcentral is "SSU_rRNA_archaea". It matches the Rfam family "Eukaryotic small subunit ribosomal RNA", at positions 1507 to 1823 of the family's 1831-position model. Lineage: Eukaryota; Metazoa; Cnidaria; Anthozoa; Malacalcyonacea; Plexauridae. The record is from RNAcentral.